GGUCCGUCACUGCGGGCCACAGCGGCACAACCUCUCCCCCCGCGCGCCUCUCGUCGCUGGCUUCAGAGAGAAUAUCGCCGCCUCUCACUGCCUCAGCCUCUGGCCGCCGGCUUCAGAGAAGAGGAGAGCCGCCACCUCUCUGAAGCCUCUCGCCGUCGCCCUCUCCGCCGCCCUCUUCACCGCCUCUUUUCGUUGCCCUUUCUGAAGCUUGCCGCUGCAGGGCCGUCGCCUACCACCGCCGCCCGCCGCUGCAUCCUCUCUCUCUGCCGCCUCUGGCCGCCGCCACACAGCCCUUACCUCUCUGCCGCCGCCGCCUCUCAGCCUCCUCUUAGUGGUUUGAUCUUUCACGAGUUUGAUAAUAAUCAUGGAAGCCCCCGAAAAAUCUGAAGAAGCCAUCUCUAGUGGAACUCCAAGGAUGGCAGGAACUGUUAACUGGGGCACUGCAACAGUUAUUGGAGUAUUUGCUGGAAUGUUAUAUGGGGGUAGCAAGGAGGCUUCUGCUUCUGUAAGCAAGGAUGCAGAAGUGAUGUUGAAGCUUGGAAGCACUCCAGACAAGCGUGAGCAGUAUCGUUUAAUGAGGGAUGCAAUGGAGAAAAGGUUUAUCAGAGUUACACGUGGCUCUAUAGUUGGAGGAGUGCGCCUUGGAAUGUUUACUGCUUCCUUUUAUGGUUUACAAAAUCUGCUUGCAGAGAAACGAGGAGUACAUGAUGUCUAUAAUGUUGUUGGAGCUGGUUCGGCCACUGCUGCAACAUUUGGUUUAAUAUUGCCUGGAUCACUCCUUUGGCGGGCAAGGAAUGUAGCUUUGGGUUCAGUCUUGGGUGCAGCCAUUUGCUUCCCUCUCGGUUGGCUGCAGUUAAAGCUCAUAGAGAAAGCGAAUGAAGGGAGAUCAGCUGGUUAUCCAGACUCCAACAAUAGUAAAGAAGCAAAAAGUGGUGUCGGUGCUGCAAUUGAGAGGCUUGAAGGGCAUCGGAGCAAAUAGAAUAGCUGCUAGGUUUAAUUGCUUUCCUUGUUCCAAACUUAGAAGCAGAAAGUUCGCAUUUUGUGUUCCUCAAGCACGAUCAUAGGUUUGGCGGCUACUGGGCUUCUAGCUUGAAGGAAACUGGGAUGCAUUUGAUCGGCGGGUAAGGAAUUUGGGAACAACAUAUUUCGGCUCAAUUUUCUUUGAAUCGAUGGACCUUAUUCCUCUUGCAGAAAGUGUUGAUUGAAGAAAGGAGACAUUGCUUGCUCAUGCAAGGUUACUAAGAUCUUUAUUAUCAAAUAAAAGCAAAGGGAUUUUGGUUUAAAUGUAGGUAGGUAAUGCGCUUGAGCUUUUGAAAAUUACGAUGGCCUCCCUAUACAUUUAUACAAAAUUUUGUUGCACUACCACCCUUACUCCAUUAAUUUGUUUUCGAUCAUGCCCUCAUUUUUGUGGCAGCAAAGGCAACGACGACAAUAUCAACCACCUUUUCCUUUCUUCAUUCCUUUCUUUUUCACGACCUUUGUGGUUCCCCAUCCUCAGUUUCUUCCUUGAGAUGUUCAACCACUGCUUUUCACUAUCUCUCUCUUUCUCAUCUCUUCUUUGUCACCUUCCCUCCUGUUUUCCUCUCUUAUUCAUGGCCUUUGUGGUUCCCCAUCCUUGAUUUCUGUCUUGAGAUGUUCAACUAUUGCUUUUCACUCUCUCUAUUGCCUUUUCUUAAUGAAACCUUGAAUGUUGCCUCUUCAUGGUUUAUCCCUCUAGGUUUGUACUAUUUAAUUAGGUUCAUUAAGGUAAACUCGGUUCUUUCGAUUUUUGGGAGUUAUCAAUUUCAAGUUCAUCUCAAUUUGUGUGUUUUAGAUCCAUUCAACCCUCCUUUGAUUUGUUGCUUCACACUGAUUAUUGGUGUUUGUUUGUAAUUUUGAUUGUUGGGGCUUGUUGGUCCCCUGCAGAUAUGUUCACUUUUAGGGGUUGUUGGUUCUUUGUUGUAUUUCUUGAUUUUGAUUAUGGAUGUUUGUUGCUUUGGUUUGUUAUUGGUUUACGUGAUAUUGAGACCCUUCAUUGUCCUUCUUUGAGAGCAGAGUUCUUAAGGAGACCUAAUUGAUGAUGUUUGAGUCUAGUCGGGCUUCACUUGAAACAAAUAGCAUAUGAUUCAAGACGAUUUCUAACUGGUGGCAACCAUUGUCAUUAAAACCUUUGCGAUUUCUAACUGGUGGCUUUCAAUGGCCAUUAGGGGUGCCUGGACAUCCACCACUACCAGGUUGUUCUAUUUAUUCAAAAAUUAGGA
RNA transcript from Diospyros lotus (date-plum), 2240 nucleotides. RefSeq lists it as uncharacterized. Lineage: Eukaryota; Viridiplantae; Streptophyta; Magnoliopsida; Ericales; Ebenaceae. The transcript has 8 exons. The record is from RefSeq and is a predicted model, not a curated record.